RNAcentral lists this ribosomal RNA (253 nucleotides) under uncultured bacterium. RNAcentral describes it as "partial 16S ribosomal RNA". It matches the Rfam family "Bacterial small subunit ribosomal RNA", at positions 524 to 776 of the family's 1533-position model. The record is from RNAcentral.
UACGAAGGGGGCUAGCGUUGUUCGGAAUUACUGGGCGUAAAGCGCACGUAGGCGGAAUGUUAAGUCAGGGGUGAAGUCCCGGGGCUCAACCCCGGAACUGCCUUUGAUACUGGCAUUCUCGAGUCCGGAAGAGGUGAGUGGAAUUCCGAGUGUAGAGGUGAAAUUCGUAGAUAUUCGGAGGAACACCAGUGGCGAAGGCGGCUCACUGGUCCGGUACUGACGCUGAGGCGCGAAAGCUAGGGGAGCAAACAGG